This 1451-nucleotide long non-coding RNA is filed under the name Mytilus galloprovincialis (Mediterranean mussel). The record is from RNAcentral. Lineage: Eukaryota; Metazoa; Mollusca; Bivalvia; Mytilida; Mytilidae.
UUCAUUCAUAACAUGGUUACAAUGUUUUAUUGUUUGCUAAUGGCUCUACCAAAUGAAACCCUUUGUCAAAUUUUUUUUCUGUGUAAAACAAUCCCUUUCUUUGUUGAUGAGUUGUUUUCUGUUCCCAUUGUUUUUUGUUAACUUGACCAACAAUUUUGAACCAUAAAUUGUUAUUUUUUAUUGUUUUUUAAUAUUUGUGCAAUACUUUGACUUUAUUUAUUGAUUUAUUUAGGAGAUAAUGAACAACAUAGUGUACCUUAUUGGUGUAAACAAGGAUAUAUAUGUGUGUGUUAUAAUUUUUAUGAUUUCAAUGAACAAAUAUUUGUUGAUCAGACAAUUUCUUCUUAUGAUCACACAAGUUUAAAAGAAGGGCUGUGAUGUCCUGUAAUGGUGGACAAAUAGCCUGCUGUCCAUUCAAAUUGUUGAUUUCUGCAAACUACCAUAUGUUUUAACAUAAUUAGAUAUUUUCAGUGCAAUGCUCCCUAGAAAAUGUAAAUGAUUACUUUAAAGUAAAAGAGAACUAUUGAAAUUGAUAUUAUAUUUAAUAUUUGAAUAAUUUCAAUUUAAUGGACACAAGUUGUAUAAAAAUUGAUAUGAUAUAGAUAUUGGAAGAUGGUAAUUUAUAUGACACAAAUUAAUUUAAUGCUGUUUUUUGCAUAUUUCAUACUUAAAGUUUUUUAGGUAUGGUUAAAUAACUUUUAUAAUUUAUAAGAUUAAUCUUUAUUAUUCAUCAUGGCCAACAAACUUAAAACAGCAAGUUUUCACUUUUUAUAAAAGUGAUACAAGUCCUAUCAAGAAGUUAAUUAGUUUAAAUUCUAGGGUGAAUAAAUAUUGUAACUUGAAAAGAACAAUUUUCCUGACUUUCUUGUUUUUAAUCAACUAUUUAAGGAUGUCUGCUGAUGAAAAUAGAAACUUUGCGAUUAAAAUCUUUUUCAAUAAAGAAUUUGUAACAUAUCUUUAUUUUGGAUAAAUAAAGGAAGGUCCAUAUGACUAAUUUUUGCAUACAAGCAGUUGAACAUUUUUAUUGUAUGACAAAUGUCUCUGUUUUUUUUUUCAUAUUAAAGUUUUGAGGAACUGUAUUAUAAAUCUGUGUGACAUACAAAGCAGAAACAACAAAAACUUGAAAAUAUUUGUUAGAAAUAAUUUCAGAUGUUUUUGUUUAAAUUUUUGAAAAAUCAAGAGGUUACUAAGCAAAACAUUUCAGUGCAUUACUCAGAAAAAUGCAGAGGAGUUACUAAAAUUUAUAAAAAGUUUUAAAAUUUUCUCAGCAAACAUCCUUAAGGAGGAACAUGGCAAUUUUAUGUAAUGUAUUUUAAGAAAUGAUUCAUGUGGUAUUUUAUUUAUGAGAUUAAUUUAUUAAUAAAGUUGUUAGAUACAAAUCUAUGCAUUAAGUAUAAAUGUGGGUCAAGUUGUUUUAGAGGUAUUGACUUAUUAAAUAAAUUAUAUUUUAU